AGCGUAGACGGACUGGCAAGUCUGAUGUGAAAGGCGGGGGCUCAACCCCUGGACUGCAUUGGAAACUGUUAGUCUUGAGUGCCGGAGAGGUAAGCGGAAUUCCUAGUGUAGCGGUGAAAUGCGUAGAUAUUAGGAGGAACACCAGUGGCGAAGGCGGCUUACUGGACGGUAACUGACGUUGAGGCUCGAAAGCGUGGGGAGCAAACAG
This 208-nucleotide ribosomal RNA is filed under the name uncultured bacterium. RNAcentral's name for it is "partial 16S ribosomal RNA". It matches the Rfam family "Bacterial small subunit ribosomal RNA", at positions 568 to 775 of the family's 1533-position model. The record is from RNAcentral.